Molecule: small nucleolar RNA, 125 nt
Organism: Bombina bombina (fire-bellied toad)
Lineage: Eukaryota; Metazoa; Chordata; Amphibia; Anura; Bombinatoridae
Product: small nucleolar RNA SNORD22
Exons: 1
Source: RefSeq, a predicted model, not a curated record
CCCUAAUGAUGAAACUUUCACAUGUCCGACCCAUUGAACUGCAACAGAGCCUGUAAAGGUGAACCCACUGUUGCAGUCAGUGGGAAAGGAAGGAUGACUUGUUCCAGCUGAACUGUCUGAUGGGG